Molecule: long non-coding RNA, 617 nt
Filed under: Phasianus colchicus (ring-necked pheasant)
Lineage: Eukaryota; Metazoa; Chordata; Aves; Galliformes; Phasianidae
Description: lncRNA (ENSPCLG00000016634.1)
Source: RNAcentral
AGAAAGGGGGAUUUUUGGGUCAGCCACCAGCGUGAAGCAGGCUCAGAAACGGGCGUUUUGGGGUCAGCGCGCGGCAAAACGGGGACAGAAAGCAUCAUUUUGGGUGCGUUCAUUUUGAGAGCGUCAUGCUGCCCCAGCACAGAAUGGGCUCAGAAAGCGGCUUUUUGGGGCCGGAGCAAAAAAAAAAACAACAAACAACAAAACGACGAAGAAAAAGGACACAGAAAGCAGCAUUUGGGGUCGGGCUCAUCUCCCCGGCGCGCACCGAGCUGACGAAGCGGGGUUUGGGGCCGGCCGCUGGUACUUACUCCGCUCACUUGGAUUUUUUCCUGCCUCUUUUUUUAAGGGGUUUUGUGCUCUUUUUUGGGUUUUUUGUUUGUUUUUUUUUGUUUUUGCCUCAAUUCUCUCAUUUUUCCUCCUCUGAAAGCCCCAUCUCGAGCCAAGGGGAAAAGCAGAGCGACAAAACACCCCGCAAAGGGGAAAAGCAGAGCGAUAAGGAAAACAAGCCCUCAGAGCCUGAAUGAAAGGCGCCUGGCUCUUCCCCCCACCCCAAAAAAAGAAAAAUAAUAAUCUUAAAUCUCAGAAACGUGCAGAAUUCAGCCGUUUGUUCUGCAGUU